RNAcentral lists this ribosomal RNA (543 nucleotides) under Triticum aestivum (bread wheat). RNAcentral describes it as "partial small subunit ribosomal RNA". The record is from RNAcentral. Lineage: Eukaryota; Viridiplantae; Streptophyta; Magnoliopsida; Poales; Poaceae.
AUGAAGUUGCGUGCAAAGGAGCUGAUGGACGGGAUCCCAGGUGAGAUUCGCUUCCAUCAGAAGGGGAGAGUGGCGGCCGAAAGAGGCAACAGCGACAAUCAGGAGGUACUGCCAUAUAUUAGGAGAUCUUCUCCAAAGGAAGUGCUCCCGUCCAUAGUAGGAUUUGUGGAUUUGAGUGCUAAUGUUUUGGAAAGAAAUGCUGCUGAUCAGAUUCCUAGAGAGAUUUUCUCAUUGAGAAUUAUAGAAAAGGAAGAGGGAAAUCAGGGGAGGGCUUUUAUCUGCACAUAUAGGGGGAAGAGAGAAAUUAGGGGGAUUUUAAGUAGGAAACUGCUCUUUCAAGACCCAUUAUUUUUCUUUAAAUGCACGAAUUUCGUCCCGUUUGUGGUGAAGAGACACUAUUAUAACACCGAGGGGGAUUGCUCGAGGUCGCAGUUCAUCAUACAGGAAAAAAGUCUAUUUCUUCCUAUCGGGUUUUCUUGUCUAGACCUGCUAGUUUGGGGAAAAGGGGAGAGAUGGAGAGGAAAGGGGAGACAUAGGAGGUAG